UACGAAGGGGGCUAGCGUUGUUCGGAAUCACUGGGCGUAAAGCGCACGUAGGCGGAUUGUUAAGUCGGGGGUGAAAUCCUGAGGCUCAACCUCAGAACUGCCUUCGAUACUGGCAAUCUCGAGUCUGGAAGAGGUUGGUGGAACAGCUAGUGUAGAGGUGAAAUUCGUAGAUAUUAGCUAGAACACCAGUGGCGAAGGCGGCCAACUGGUCCGGUACUGACGCUGAGGUGCGAAAGCGUGGGGAGCAAACAGG
Molecule: ribosomal RNA, 253 nt
Filed under: uncultured bacterium
Lineage: Bacteria
Description: partial 16S ribosomal RNA
Rfam family: Bacterial small subunit ribosomal RNA
Source: RNAcentral